This 253-nucleotide ribosomal RNA is filed under the name uncultured bacterium. RNAcentral describes it as "partial 16S ribosomal RNA". It matches the Rfam family "Bacterial small subunit ribosomal RNA", at positions 524 to 776 of the family's 1533-position model. The record is from RNAcentral.
UACGUAGGGUGCAAGCGUUGUCCGGAAUUAUUGGGCGUAAAGAGCUCGUAGGUGGCUUGUCACGUCUGCUGUGAAAACUCGGGGCUCAACCCCGAGCCUGCAGUGGAUACGGGCUAGCUAGAGUGCGGUAGGGGAGACUGGAAUUCCUGGUGUAGCGGUGAAAUGCGCAGAUAUCAGGAGGAACACCAAUGGCGAAGGCAGAUCUCUGGGCCGUAACUGACGCUGAGGAGCGAAAGCAUGGGGAGCGAACAGG